ACCUCGUCUGUGAUGCUCCCUCUCACCUGCGCUUAAGCCCACGCACACAGGAUCUAUCCGCACGCCCUACUUCUCGAACUGCUCACCCGCGUCGAUUCUACAGAUUUUGUUGCCAUUCACUUUGAAGUCAAGUGGAGUCAUCAUGGCGACGGACCUCGAUUCCUUUAGCACGUACAUUGAUCACCUCAUUCUGCUCCUGGCGGCACGCUUCCAUGCACCGCUGGACGUAUCCGUUGAGGAGUUGCUGCCCAGCAGCCUGAACUUGUCAGCCGAGGCACAAUGCCCGUGGGAGCUGGUUGCCUGCUCCGUGCAGCAGGCGCUCCGCACACCGCAAACAGCUCAGGAGCGCCUCCUGAUGCGCCAUCUAGACGUGCACCACUUCUCGGCGUCGGUGUGUAGGGAGAGGGCUCGCUACAUGCAGUGGAAGCUGCAGGAGUGCCGGCGUCGCCGCGGCGAAAAGCAGCAGCUUGUGCAGUCAGCAGCAGUGCCGUCAGCAGCCCGAACAAACACGAGCUCCACUGCCGCUGCAAAUGCUAUAGCCGCGGGCCAGCCCUGCGAUGUGACAUGCACAUCUCUUCACAACGAUGCUUGCUCUCUCUACAAGCUGGUGCGCCAGUCGCUGCCCUGUACGCUGGGCGGCACCGAGAGCGACGACGACGACAACGAGGAUGCGCAGGCGCCAACGGCGUCGGUGAAGUCGGUAGCGUUCGCGAGUGAGCCAUCCGCAUUCGAGAGAGUUCAUGAGGUGUUCAUGCGUACCCCGUCCGAGCAGGAGCGCGAUGAGCUAGUCGCCCGCGCGCGGGACGAGUUUCUGAGUCAGGUGCAAGCACUGCAGUCAGCUUACUACGACAAGUAUCACCGCUGGAUGGACGUGCCGGCAAGCGUCUUGGACCCUCCUCCCGCGUCGAGCAAGCAACCUGCGAGCACAGACGCCGCUGCCGCUGCGUUCGAGAGCGCUGCACCGCAGCAUGGCUCAGAGAGUGAGCGGGCGGCGUUGCUGGGGGCCCUCGGGGCGGCAGCACCACCACCGCCUCGUCCCAGGACACAGGCGAAUUACACCAACACUAGCGGCGCCGCUGACCGCACAGAGAAACCCCAUACCCUCGCCUCCAUGCUCCGCCAGGUGCAGCUACGGCGCCCUUUGCGCCCCUCUGCUGUGCCGGAUGACGUGCUGGAGAGCAUGUACCGCGCGCGCGCCGAGUCUGAGGGGGCGCCAAAGAACCUGUGCGUCUCUAGUGGCUUGCGCAGCUCUCCCCCUGCAGCCUCCACCUCCGCUACUCCGUCGUUCGCCGUUGGUUCUGCUGAUGCCAUAACCGCGGAAGCUGUAGCUGUCGCGUCAUCAUCAUCACAGCCUUCAUCCUCCGUGGCAGCGGUUCGAAAGGACACGGUGCCGCCAGCGAGCCGCCGCGGCCGCUGGCAGAUUGUCGAGUACGACGAUGACGAUGAUGGCGAAGGAUAGCGGCUCAUCAGUCAUGGCCUUUUUUUUUUGACUUUGAGGCUCCCGCGAUGGAAGUGAAUUAACGGCGUUCAUGGAUACUGGAAGAGAGCGGAGCGAUUCUUUAGCGGCAGCAUGUACAUAUAUGCCGACCCCGAGCAUCUGCCGCGCGCAUGCGUGCGUUUUUUUUGUUUGUUUGGCUUCGCUGGUGCACCUCUCUCUGUCGAAGCCCGCAAAGAUGUAUGGAUUCGCGUACCACCAUCGACAUGCAUACACAGAGGUAAGAGGUGCCCGCGCAUAUCCGAACCUGCCUAUUCAUGUGCAUCCUCGCUCUCCUUCUUUGUUUUUGCACUUGUGUUGUGUUCAUGUGAGCGUUAG
This 1813-nucleotide unclassified non-coding RNA is filed under the name Leishmania donovani. Its description in RNAcentral is "gene:LdHU3.36.1080(CDS-product:hypothetical_prote in_conserved)". Lineage: Eukaryota; Euglenozoa; Kinetoplastea; Trypanosomatida; Trypanosomatidae. The record is from RNAcentral.